This 252-nucleotide ribosomal RNA is filed under the name uncultured bacterium. Its description in RNAcentral is "partial 16S ribosomal RNA". It matches the Rfam family "Bacterial small subunit ribosomal RNA", at positions 524 to 776 of the family's 1533-position model. The record is from RNAcentral.
UACGGAGGGUGCAAGCGUUAUCCGGAUUCACUGGGUUUAAAGGGUGCGUAGGCGGGUAUAUAAGUCAGUGGUGAAAGCUCCGGGCUUAACUUGGAAACUGCCAUUGAUACUGUAUAUCUUGAAUAUCGUAGAGGUUAGCGGAAUGUUGCAUGUAGCGGUGAAAUGCUUAGAUAUGUUACAGAACACCAAUUGCGAAGGCAGCUAACUAUGCGAUGAUUGACGCUGAGGCGCGAAAGCGUGGGAGCGAACAGG